RNAcentral lists this non-coding RNA (114 nucleotides) under Phytophthora sojae strain P6497. RNAcentral describes it as "Eukaryotic large subunit ribosomal RNA". It matches the Rfam family "Eukaryotic large subunit ribosomal RNA", at positions 999 to 1112 of the family's 3401-position model. The record is from Rfam by way of RNAcentral. Lineage: Eukaryota; Oomycota; Peronosporomycetes; Peronosporales; Peronosporaceae.
CCUAGUGAGGUAAAGCGAAUGAUUAGAGGAUUCGGGGAAGCAACUUCCUCGACCUAUUCUCAAACUUUAAAUCUGUAAGACCUGCAGGUUUCUUAAUUGAACUUGUGGAUGUGA